GCGCAUGUGAUGUAAACAUCAUUUUGAUCUGAAUGUCUGAUGCAUUCAAAGGAACCACUGAUGCCA
RNAcentral lists this small nucleolar RNA (66 nucleotides) under Xiphophorus couchianus (Monterrey platyfish). RNAcentral's name for it is "Small nucleolar RNA SNORD42 (ENSXCOG00000017875.1)". The record is from RNAcentral. Lineage: Eukaryota; Metazoa; Chordata; Actinopteri; Cyprinodontiformes; Poeciliidae.